UUACGGCCACAUCACGUUGAAACAACGGUUGCCAUACGAUCACCGAAGUUAAGCAACGUCGAGCCUGGUCGGUACGUAGAUGGUUGACCGCUUGUAAGCAUGGG
RNAcentral lists this ribosomal RNA (104 nucleotides) under Acanthosepion pharaonis. Lineage: Eukaryota; Metazoa; Mollusca; Cephalopoda; Sepiida; Sepiidae. The record is from RNAcentral.